GGGGGCCCCCCCCCCCCCCCCCCCCCUCAGUUUGCAGCCUUGCUUUCGUCGGGCCAUCCACUGGCGAGCUUCUCGAUCGAGAGAGGAAAGCAGAAGGUACAACAGAGGAGCUGAAGCUUUCGGGGCGAGCGCUCCGAAUGAGGUCCAAUUGUCAAAUAUACAUUUUUGAAAAGAGGGAGGUAGAUAUUUUCUGAUAGGAAAAAUGCUAUUGAACAUUUCUCUUUCUUUCUAUUGACCCUUCUCUUUGAUGUGGUGAGAUAAUCCGUCCCAUCUAAUGCAUUUCUCCUUCUGUU
Molecule: long non-coding RNA, 293 nt
Organism: Setaria italica (foxtail millet)
Lineage: Eukaryota; Viridiplantae; Streptophyta; Magnoliopsida; Poales; Poaceae
Exons: 2
Source: RefSeq, a predicted model, not a curated record